Molecule: non-coding RNA, 101 nt
Filed under: Carbonactinospora thermoautotrophica
Lineage: Bacteria; Bacillati; Actinomycetota; Actinomycetes; Kitasatosporales; Carbonactinosporaceae
Source: RNAcentral
GGGAAGUCCGGUCGAAGUCCGGCGCUGACCCGCAACCGUAGGCCGCCCCACGGCAUCGAGCCUCGCCUCGCGGCCGUGGUCCGGCGGCGAGCCGGGAUACC